CCGAAACUGAUGCGCGAGCCUCUGAACCACAAGAAAACAUCCUCCAUGGUCACUUCUCCCAAGAGAUCGCCUGCAAAGAUCUUAUUCGAAUGAUUGAUGGAACGUUUGUCAUAAGCAUAAAGGUCAAGUCUUGUCACUAGCAUGGAGGCCCUGCACAAGCAAUAAGUGCGCCGUAAGCUAGCAAGUCAAGUCCCAUGCCUAAGAACAGACGUUUGAACUAAGGAGAUGAGGCCACGUGCCACUUCAUCCAAGGGCUCCCAUUCCAUAUGUAUCACUAUAAAUACCCCCAUUGUUUAAUGUCAAAGGCUAAUGCAAGAAUCAAUACUAAA
Molecule: long non-coding RNA, 329 nt
Filed under: Olea europaea (common olive)
Lineage: Eukaryota; Viridiplantae; Streptophyta; Magnoliopsida; Lamiales; Oleaceae
Description: long non-coding RNA (OEUR_LNC009699)
Source: RNAcentral